RNAcentral lists this unclassified non-coding RNA (328 nucleotides) under Hevea brasiliensis (rubber tree). Lineage: Eukaryota; Viridiplantae; Streptophyta; Magnoliopsida; Malpighiales; Euphorbiaceae. The record is from RNAcentral.
UUUUUGUUUCUUUUCCAAAAAGAUGAUUUAUCAGCUAUAAUAGAAUACAAAGAAUUGCCAAGCGAAAUACACAACGCAAAAGGAGAAAGGAAACUUUCCAUUAUUGAAGUAUACUAGUAGAAACAGAGAAUAUGAAUCUAUGUUCCUGUCUGACAAACAAGGAACUGAGCCUGAUAAACUUGAUUGUAAUUUCUACAAUGUUUCAUUGCAAACCUGACCUACUGAAGCCAAGGUGUGAAGUCUUGUUCUAUGCCCCUGUUACGCAUUAGGAAUCACUCUAACUUCUAUUGCUAUUAUCGCCUUGAUCUCAUGAUUGAUCCCUCUGCUC